Molecule: long non-coding RNA, 877 nt
Organism: Passer domesticus (house sparrow)
Lineage: Eukaryota; Metazoa; Chordata; Aves; Passeriformes; Passeridae
Exons: 3
Source: RefSeq, a predicted model, not a curated record
CAGGCACGGGAGCACCUCUGCUCUGCAGGCUGGCUGGGAGCAGCAGCACCCCUGAGGCAGCACACAGAGCCCUCUGGGAGAUGAUGCCAUAAUCUGACAUGGGCACCUCACAGUGGGACCAAGGAUGGAGCAGAAGGAGCCUGGAAAUGGACAAGCAGCAAGGAGAGGCUGGACUUGAUCAUGAACAUUUUUUCAACCUCAAUGAUUCUGUGAUUCUGCGAGCUGUAUGUCUGUAGUGCCCUUGUUUGCAGGGAAACACCUCUGUCCCUGCAGAGCCCAUCAUCCAGAUCUUGGCUUGAUGGAAGCAGGAGCUCUGGGUAGCAGAACUGCAUUCAUCCACCUAAACUUUAAUUCAGCCCUUAAUCUACAGUUUUUUUCAGAACAGUCUUAUGGAAAAACAACUUCUUCACAGACAGCACCAAGAAUUUAGGGGAGCUUUAUCUCAGCCACUGACCAACCAUAAAUUUCAUAUUUACACCUAUAUCCAGAUGAGUAAACAAAUCUCAUCAUUUUGAUGGUAUUUAGAAGAAUGGGAAAUUUCUAUCACCUCAGCUCAUCAGCUAAACAACAGUCAAUGUAGCCUAAACUUGACAUUUUUCAUCUGUGGAUGUUUCCCCCUCCUAAAACAGAUGUGAAGGACCUAAAAGAUUCUCAUGCAAAUGGCUACAUCUUUCUUUUAUACACUUAAUUUUGAAAAUAGUACCUUAACUGAGCAGCAAGAAUCCCACCUGUCUGUCACCAACACAUCACCUGCUAAUGCCAGAUUGAAGUGGAGCAAUACACAGCUCUGUCUUAAAAGAUUUUCUGAUUCAUUAAUGCUUAUGCUUUCCCUUCAAUAGCAAAUAUCUCCUUUUGUCUCAAAUAAACACAUGGAAAU